AUUGAACGCUGGCGGCAUGCCUUACACAUGCAAGUCGAACGGCAGCACGGGUGCUUGCACCUGGUGGCGAGUGGCGAACGGGUGAGUAAUACAUCGGAACGUACCUUAUCGUGGGGGAUAACGCAGCGAAAGCUGUGCUAAUACCGCAUACGCCCUGAGGGGGAAAGCGGGGGAUCGAAAGACCUCGCGCGAUUAGAGCGGCCGAUGCCGGAUUAGCUUGUUGGGGGGGUAAAAGCCCACCAAGGCGACGAUCAGUAGCUGGUCUGAGAGGACGAUCAGCCACACUGGGACUGAGACACGGCCCAGACUCCUACGGGAGGCAGCAGUGGGGAAUUUUGGGCAAUGGGGGCAACCCUGAUCCAGCAAUGCCGCGUGAGUGAAGAAGGCCUUCGGGUUGUAAAGCUCUUUUGUCAGGGAAGAAACACCGGCUCUAACACAGUCCGGGAAUGACGGUACCUGAAGAAUAAGCACCGGCUAACUACGAGCCAGCAGCCGCCGUAA
RNAcentral lists this ribosomal RNA (501 nucleotides) under uncultured bacterium. Its description in RNAcentral is "partial 16S ribosomal RNA". It matches the Rfam family "Bacterial small subunit ribosomal RNA", at positions 29 to 523 of the family's 1533-position model. The record is from RNAcentral.